This is a long non-coding RNA of Hemicordylus capensis (graceful crag lizard), 863 nucleotides long. RefSeq lists it as uncharacterized. The record is from RefSeq and is a predicted model, not a curated record. The transcript is spliced from 5 exons. NCBI's taxonomy places the organism in Eukaryota, Metazoa, Chordata, Lepidosauria, Squamata, Cordylidae.
GUUAGUCUCCUGAGCUUAAAAUUUAAUUUCCUGUCAAGAUUCAUGGGAUUUAUAGGGGUUCUUUUUCUGGGCAGAGAACUACAGAAUCCACAAUGUGGCAGGAAAUUCAACCAAUUGCUCCUGAACAUGCUUGGACCUAUAAUUUCAAGAGUUGUCAGUAAUUGAGAAGUAAAAAGACAUAGAGGAAUACUAUAGGACACAACCUUGUUCAUCUGGAGGGUUAGAGUAGAUGCAAGUGCACGUAUGUUGCCAUCAAAAGCCAUUAUUGGAAAAAGAUCAAGUGCCGACCUCUACCACCUAGAGGAAUUACAGUGGAUGAAAAAAGAACAUGUUAGCAGGGGAUCAGCAGUCCACAAAACCAGCCAAAUGAUAAGGCUCUCUCUGAAGGACUGGUACACUCUCAAAGCAGCUGAACAAACAGUCAGGAAUUGAACCACCAGAACUGGAUAAAAAGAGCAAGACUCCUGAGACCAAUAGUCAGGAAUUUCUCUCCUUUGCUACCAGGUUCUCAGGGACUUUAAAUGAGCAGGCCAGAACCACAGAGCUCUUCACUUCCUCCUUUCAGACAUACAACCACAGGUGAUUGCAUAUUAUCUUCAUGGAUAUACCAUUAUGCUGAAUGAAGUGUUAUAUUGUGUUUUGCAUGCUUUGUUAUUGCUGUGACUCACUUUGAGCUCAGUGUUGCUGGGAAUGUGGCCUACAAAUAUAUUCAGUCAAAAACUACACUUCAAGUAAGCAGUGGCCACAUUACUAUAGCUGAUUAUUGUAACAGAUUAACAGUCAUUGUACUGUCAUUCUAAUCACUGCAAUUGACGUAAAGGUUUCAUAAAUAUUAAUUGAGAAAAUUAAUAAAAUACAUUACU